This 497-nucleotide ribosomal RNA is filed under the name uncultured bacterium. Its description in RNAcentral is "partial 16S ribosomal RNA". It matches the Rfam family "Bacterial small subunit ribosomal RNA", at positions 28 to 507 of the family's 1533-position model. The record is from RNAcentral.
GAUGAACGCUGGCGGCGUGCCUAAUACAUGCAAGUCGAGCGAACGGACGAGAAGCUUGCUUCUCUGAUGUUAGCGGCGGACGGGUGAGUAACACGUGGAUAACCUACCUAUAAGACUGGGAUAAUUUCGGGAAACCGGAGCUAAUACCGGAAAAUAUUUUGAACCGCAUGGUUCAAAAGUGAAAGACGGUCUUGCUGUCACUUAUAGAUGGAUCCGCGCUGCAUUAGCUAGUUGGUAAGGUAACGGCUUACCAAGGCAACGAUGCAUAGACGACCUGAGAGGGUGAUCGGCCACACUGGAACUGAGACACGGCCCAGACUCCUACGGGAGGCAGCAGUAGGGAAUCUUCCGCAAUGGGCGAGAGCCUGACGGAGCAACGCGGCGUGAGUGAUGAAGGUCUUCGGAUCGUAAAACGCUGUUAUUAGGGAAGAACAUAUGUGUAAGUAACUGUGCACAUCUUGACGGUACCUAAUCAGAAAGCCACGGCUAACUACGUG